UCCGAGUUGUCCCCGGCAGUCCCUUUAGAGUCCCCGGCAUUACCCGCUGGCAACUAAAGGCAGGGGUUGCGCUCGUUGCGGCACUUAAGCCAACACCUCACGGCACGAGCUGACGACAGCCAUGCACCACCUGCACACCAGCCACAAGGGAACCGACAUCUCUGCCGGCGUCUAGUGCAUGUCAAACCCAGGUAAGGUUCUUCGCGUUGCAUCGAAUUAAACCACAUGCUCCACCGCUUGUGCGGGCCCCCGUCAAUUCCUUUGGGUUUUAGCCUUGCGGCCGUACUCCCCAGGCGGGGCGCUUAAUGCGUUAGCUACGGCACAGAAUCCGUGGAAGGGAUCCCACACCUAGCGCCCACCGUUUACGGCGUGGACUAC
This 378-nucleotide unclassified non-coding RNA is filed under the name uncultured Actinomycetes bacterium. RNAcentral describes it as "uncultured actinobacterium contains 16S-23S intergenic spacer region". The record is from RNAcentral. Lineage: Bacteria; Bacillati; Actinomycetota; Actinomycetes.